GGCCCCAUGGUCAAGAGGUUAAGACACCGCCCUUUCACGGCGGUAACAGGGGUUCGAAUCCCCUUGGGGUCACCA
Molecule: transfer RNA, 75 nt
Filed under: Clostridiaceae bacterium
Lineage: Bacteria; Bacillati; Bacillota; Clostridia; Eubacteriales; Clostridiaceae
Description: tRNA-Glu
Rfam family: tRNA
About the family: Transfer RNA (tRNA) molecules are approximately 80 nucleotides in length. Their secondary structure includes four short double-helical elements and three loops (D, anti-codon, and T loops).
Source: RNAcentral